Molecule: long non-coding RNA, 1748 nt
Organism: Crocodylus porosus (Australian saltwater crocodile)
Lineage: Eukaryota; Metazoa; Chordata; Crocodylia; Crocodylidae
Source: Ensembl
GGGAAAGGCUGGUGCUGGAGUGCAGACCCAGGAUACAGUGGGGAACAAGUCAUCCAUUGUCCUUUACACUUCAAAAUAAGACUUCUACAGCACUAGCAGGUAUUCAUGCGAGUGCAAGCUGCACUUGCUGUUCAACAGGUUUUUCACCACCGAACCGAAGAGCCACUCGACUCCACUGGGCUGUGGAUAGAGGCUUCCUUCCUAUGUGCGUAACAGGCAGUAAAGAUGAAGCCCACCAGGCAAGGAAGACAGCAUGGAAGAGCUGCCUUUCAUUAGGCAGCACAGGAGCUGGUACUUCAAGGAUCUACAUUCUGACCUUGGGCAUCCAAGGCCCUGCUCACUCCCUUUGCAACUACGCCCAAUGGCAGACAAAGAUGCAGCAGCAAUGCCAGCUUGCUUUCAAAUCACAAUGCAAAUAUACAAUAGGAUCAACAUGAAAUGCUCUCUCCCCUGUAACAACAUGAAGACAACACAUGAUGGGUGUAAUUUUUACUGUUGGUGGCCAAGUUGCAGGCAUAGGCAGACUUUACUCGUCAGACAAACUGUCAAGCAGAAUCUCUCUAUGAACAGCAACCUGCAUAUGCACUCAUCUAGGACGGAUGCCACCAUGCCUUGCUCAUUUUCCUGGAGCUACACAACAUAUAGUGACUACAAUAUUCAUUGCAUUACAGAUGAUCUUCACUUCUCCAAUACCAUCCUACCUCCCACGGUCCCUGGAGUCCAUACACGCAGAGGAAGAAAUCAGUAAAUUAGAAAGAUCUAGAGAUGCUACCUCCUCCCUUCUCAUUUUAGCUGAAUAUACAUAGUACUAUCAAAACUGAUGUCUUACAGUUCUUACCCAACUGAUACACUAGUAAUGAAAACACUUUCACCAUGGACUUGACUCUCCAUCUUUGCUCUCACUUGAGAAGUCUUUAAUCACUAGUACAAUAUGAAAGUGCUUAAGUGGCAGACCAAGUCAUCAGUCUUCCUAUUAAAUAUUUCUAAUCUGCACCUUAGACUCUUUUCAUGCUGUUGGGGAUUACCGACAGAGAGCAGUUCUAGAUCAGCAUUCGGUUAGAGGCAGAACACUGAUGGGAGGGGUUGGAAAACAGAGGAGAACCACAGAAAUAAGAGAAAUGCAUCCAGGUCUUCAUGCUAUAAAUUUAUUAAAUAAUGCCAAUUUUUAUUAAGAAGGGCAGAGAGCAGCAUAACACAACUGGGUACCCACAAGAGCAGCAACUUAAGUAAAAGAUCAUUCUAUAUUAGAAAGACAAGAAGAAACUUCACAUCACUUGGAUACCUGGGGGGUGGGGUGGGGGGGGAAGCUACGUGUGUAGCAAAGGCUGCAUGCAGUUGUACAAUGUAAUUAUACUUUCAUGAAUUUAAAAAAAAAGUUUUAAAAGCACUUCAAGUGUUUUGAUGCAGACAAUAGAUUCUGUUUUUUGGGGGUUUUUUUAAAACAAAAAACAAGUGAAGUGGAGUCAACUGGGAAGUUUUGCCCAUCCUGUAGGAGGCAUAGGACACUAAGAAAUGUAAGAUUUGCAAGUCCUGAGCAUAGUGCACUGCUAUGACAGGUCAACAGGCAGCUCACGUUCCCCGAGGUGGGAUUUUCAAACAGUGGAAUGUAAGAGACUGGCUAUUCUGCACUGCUGCUACUCAAAACCCUGUAGCCAGCACUGUAGUCAUGUUGGCCUCCCUGUUGCAGCUUAGGGAAAUCCAUGAGACUGCAAAGGCACUACACAAAGCUAUUAGCCAGAGAGACAAGA